GCAUCCAAGAGCUCCCUUGGGAUGGAAGGCGAGCAGGAAGGGAGAGCUGUGUGCCUUCACCCACGAACGGUAUUUCUGGAUUAGAGACAGGACUGGAAUGAACAUAAUUAAAGA
Molecule: long non-coding RNA, 114 nt
Filed under: Dasypus novemcinctus (nine-banded armadillo)
Lineage: Eukaryota; Metazoa; Chordata; Mammalia; Cingulata; Dasypodidae
Description: lncRNA (ENSDNOG00000052588.1)
Source: RNAcentral